RNAcentral lists this ribosomal RNA (253 nucleotides) under uncultured bacterium. RNAcentral describes it as "partial 16S ribosomal RNA". It matches the Rfam family "Bacterial small subunit ribosomal RNA", at positions 524 to 776 of the family's 1533-position model. The record is from RNAcentral.
UACGGAGGGAGCUAGCGUUGUUCGGAAUUACUGGGCGUAAAGCGCACGUAGGCGGCUUUGUAAGUUAGAGGUGAAAGCCCGGGGCUCAACUCCUGAACUGCCUUUAAGACUGCAUCGCUUGAAUCCAGGAGAGGUGAGUGGAAUUCCGAGUGUAGAGGUGAAAUUCGUAGAUAUUCGGAAGAACACCAGUGGCGAAGGCGGCUCACUGGACUGGUAUUGACGCUGAGGUGCGAAAGCGUGGGGAGCAAACAGG